This 253-nucleotide ribosomal RNA is filed under the name uncultured bacterium. RNAcentral describes it as "partial 16S ribosomal RNA". It matches the Rfam family "Bacterial small subunit ribosomal RNA", at positions 524 to 776 of the family's 1533-position model. The record is from RNAcentral.
UACGUAGGGUGCGAGCGUUGUCCGGAAUUAUUGGGCGUAAAGAGCUUGUAGGCGGUUUGUCGCGUCUGCUGUGAAAAUCCGGGGCUCAACCCCGGACUUGCAGUGGGUACGGGCAGACUAGAGUGUGGUAGGGGAGACUGGAAUUCCUGGUGUAGCGGUGAAAUGCGCAGAUAUCAGGAGGAACACCGGUGGCGAAGGCAGGUCACUGGGCCGCAACUGACGCUGAGGAGCGAAAGCAUGGGGAGCGAACAGG